UACGUAGGGGGCAAGCGUUAUCCGGAUUUACUGGGUGUAAAGGGAGCGUAGACGGCAGUGCAAGUCUGGAGUGAAAGGCGGGGGCUCAACCCCCGGACCGCUCUGGAAACUGUACGGCUGGAGUGCAGGAGAGGUAAGUGGAAUUCCUAGUGUAGCGGUGAAAUGCGUAGAUAUUAGGAGGAACACCGGUGGCGAAGGCGGCUUACUGGACUGUAACUGACGUUGAGGCUCGAAAGCGUGGGGAGCAAACAGG
Molecule: ribosomal RNA, 253 nt
Filed under: uncultured bacterium
Lineage: Bacteria
Description: partial 16S ribosomal RNA
Rfam family: Bacterial small subunit ribosomal RNA
Source: RNAcentral